CCUACGGGGGGCUGCAGUGGGGAAUAUUGGGCAAUGGGCGAAAGCCUGACCCAGCAACGCCGCGUGAAGGAAGAAGGCUUUCGGGUUGUAAACUUCUUUUGGCAGGGACGAAGAAAGUGACGGUACCUGCAGAAUAAGCUCCGGCUAACUACGUGCCAGCAGCCGCGGUAAUACGUAGGGAGCGAGCGUUAUCCGGAUUUACUGGGUGUAAAGGGCGCGUAGGCGGGAAUGCAAGUCAGAUGUGAAAUCUCCGGGCUCAACCCGGAAACUGCAUUUGAAACUGUAUUUCUUGAGUGAUGGAGAGGCAAGUGGAAUUCCUAGUGUAGCGGUGAAAUGCGUAGAUAUUAGGAGGAACACCAGUGGCGAAGGCGACUUGCUGGACAUUAACUGACGCUGAGGCGCGAAAGCGUGGGGAGCAAACAGGAUUAGAUACCCCGGUAGUC
RNAcentral lists this ribosomal RNA (443 nucleotides) under uncultured Oscillospiraceae bacterium. Its description in RNAcentral is "bacterial SSU rRNA". It matches the Rfam family "Bacterial small subunit ribosomal RNA", at positions 338 to 795 of the family's 1533-position model. The record is from RNAcentral. Lineage: Bacteria; Bacillati; Bacillota; Clostridia; Eubacteriales; Oscillospiraceae.